AUGUCGUCGUCGAUCCCACCGCCGGCCUUCUCCUCUGCUUGCUUCCUCCGGUUCCAUGUCGCCGUCGAUCCAGAGCGGCGGCGGGGUCUGCGCGGUGCGGGUGGGGAUGUAGGGGAGGGGUGGGAUGCAGACGAUGGCGAGGAAGGCAAGCAACAUCGGGGAAUGAGCAGCCGCUGGAUGAGAAAGCAUAGGAUUCAGGAAAGCAACUGCAAGAGACGGAGAAGACGUCCCCAUGGCUUCUACGAGGACCAGAAGCGUAUGCCUAUUAUUAGAGCUUGGAUAAGGCUUGCUUGUGGAAAAACUGGUUCUCGUUCAGUUAUGCUUGUCAGUUUGAUAGAAGAUGGACACCCCUCUUCAAGUUGGUUUAUGGGCUUGCGGAGUGUGAGAAACCCCUGGUAUGCCUCCAUCCUUCGUCCCUUGCUCCGUGGCCUGGAUGUCGAGGGAGGGCGAGAGGUGGUGAUAUGCAGGGGUGAGGGAGAUGGAGGCGGUGACCUGCAGCUCCUGUUGAAGGGGCGGAGAAGAGGGGGUGCGGAGAUGAGAGGCUAUUGUUGUUUAUUCCUUCAUGCAGUAUUUCUGAGUUGGUUCACUCUGAAAAAAGGCUUUCCAUAA
RNAcentral lists this ribosomal RNA (609 nucleotides) under Triticum aestivum (bread wheat). Its description in RNAcentral is "partial small subunit ribosomal RNA". Lineage: Eukaryota; Viridiplantae; Streptophyta; Magnoliopsida; Poales; Poaceae. The record is from RNAcentral.